This is a long non-coding RNA of Ornithodoros turicata, 277 nucleotides long. RefSeq lists it as uncharacterized. NCBI's taxonomy places the organism in Eukaryota, Metazoa, Arthropoda, Arachnida, Ixodida, Argasidae. The record is from RefSeq and is a predicted model, not a curated record. The transcript is spliced from 4 exons.
CGAUGCCAGAGCUAACUGAUGGGUGCACAUGGUUCCUUCGUAUGUUCUUCCUUUGAAGAAAUAAACGUGUUUCGAUGCCAGAGCUAACUGAUGGGUGCACAUGGUUCCUUCCUAUGUUCUUCCUUUGAAGAAAUAAACGUGUUUCGAUGCCAGAGCUAACUGAUGGGUGCACAUGGUUCCUUCGUAUGUUUUUCCUUGGAAAAAAUAAACUUGUUUCGAUGCCAGAGCUAACUGAUGGGUGCACAUGGUUCCUUCGUAUGUUCUUCCUUUGAAGAAA